This is a non-coding RNA of Merops nubicus (carmine bee-eater), 485 nucleotides long. NCBI's taxonomy places the organism in Eukaryota, Metazoa, Chordata, Aves, Coraciiformes, Meropidae. The record is from the annotation of a RefSeq genome assembly.
AGAAAACAAUUUCUCAACCAGCAAAUUUUGAAAUCCUGCAGAAGAAAGAUAAUGAUCAGGCAACGUAUGUUUGUCUUAUUGAGAAAUUCUACCCAGAAGUUAUUCGGGUGAGAUGGACCGACAGAGAAAAUAAGGAGGUAACAGACAACGUAGUGACAGGAAGCACUUGGAAGGCCACCACAGAGGAUGUAUACUCAAUUGCCAGCUGGCUAACUGUACCAGCAGAGAAGAAAGAUGAAAAUUACUACUGCAAAUAUGAGCAUGAAAGCCCAGAUCGUUCACUGUCAACACAAGGAGAUCCUACAGCCACUCCUGCCCAGGAAGAACACUGCAGCACAAUUUUUAAUACAGAUCACUUGGUGCACAGGACAGCAUCCUUGGUGUACAUCGUCCUCCUCCUGAAGAGCUCCAUGUACUAUCUCAUCGUGCUCUUCUUCAUCUACAGAGCGUGGGCUCCAGCCAAGCGCCAUGGAAAGAAAGCAUGA